GAGCGGCUGGGGAGCUAGUGAAGCUUCAUCUGUUCUUACGGCCGCUUCCCCGUUGCUCACGUGACCACCAGAGCGCCACUCAGGUCAGAUUAGUGCCGGCGUUAGAUUCUCACAGGAGCACGAACUCUGCUGUGAACCCCGCAUGCAAGGGAUCUAGGCUGUGCGCUCUUUAUGAGAACCUGAUGCCUGAUGAUCUGUCGCCGCCGUCGCAUUGCAGGAAAACAAGGUCAGGGCUCCUACUGAUUCUACAUUAUGGUGAGGGGUAUAAUUACUUCCUUAUAUAUUACAACGUAAUAAUAAUAGAAAUAAAGUGCACAAUAAAUGAAAUGCCCUUGAAUCAUCCUGAAACCACCCCCACCCCCAUCCCCCACCAUCUGGAAAAUUUGCCUUCCUCCAAACCAGUCCCUGGUGCUAGAAAUGUUGGGGAGCGCCGCUUUAAGAGCCUCACAAGAGAUCAGUCUUGAAGACGCAGUUGGGGUCACGUGACCCGAGUCCGCCCAUCACAGGGCUGGCCCCGGGUGCCAUUUUGAGAGCGUGCUCCUUCCUUAACUCCUCCUGGUGGGGCUAGAAUUUGGUGGAUUGGGUGUUUAUUUGAUGAGGUCGCAGCAUUUGGGUCUAAUUUAAAACUUAGGAUGUUCUUUAAAUGUUUCAUUUCUUCUUUGGUUCAUUUCCAUGAUGCUAUGCCACCAAAGGGGAGCCUCUAAGGGAUUUUCCUUCCAAAAUGUUGUAUUUUGCUGGAAUUUUGCAAUUUCUUUGUUAAAGAAUCCACCCACUCUUCCAUUGCUCUGCAUUCUUUCUGAAAGGACGUAUACCUUGUGCGUCCAGUGAGACCUGAAUCAUUGUUAAAGUUGGCCAGAGACCAACAGCCUCAGGGGUACUGAGGAUAAUAACGAUCUAGAAUCAUCUCUUCUUCUUCUUCUUUUUUUUUUUGGAGACAGGGUCUCACUCUGUUGCCCAGGCUGGAGUGCAGGGUCAUGAUCAGGGCUCACUGCAGCCUCUACCUCCUCGGCUCAAGCAAUCCUACUUCAGCCUCCCGAGUAUCUGGGACCACAGGUGCACACCACUAUGCCUGGCUAAUUUUUUAAAAAUAUUUUUUGUAGAGACCAGGUCUCACCAUGUUGUCCAGGCUGGUCUCAAACUCCUGGGCUCAAGUGAUCCUCCCACCUGGGCCUCCCAAAGUGCUGGGAUCACAGGCAUGAUUCCACCAUGCCCAGUCUAGAAUCACCUUAAUAUAAAUUCAGGGCUUCAGAUUUUCGGAGCUGUCCAGAUGAUGAAAAGCUAAGAUUAUUCUAUUUCCUUCCGUGUAGCCCUUUGGGUCCUAGCCUAAAGUGGGAUAGGGUUUACAGGUUCCCAUCUGUGAUCUUGUGAAAUAUAUAUUUGGUCUUUUCCUGGCACACAACUCUUAAAAUUCUUGGAAUUUUCAAAGUGAUGAGUGUCUUUUGUAGCUAAUGAAUUCACUGAUGGCUGACAGCCCCUAUGUAGCUUCAGGAUGGUGGCUGGUCACAAGAAAGACCAAAGCAGGAUUAUAUGAUUAGGACUUUCAUCUUGUCCCCCACCAACCUCUGGGGAAGAGAGAGGGGCUGAAGGUUAAAUGGCCAAUGACCAAUAAUUUAAUCAAUCAUGCCUAUGUAAUAAAGCUUCCAUAAAAACCCAAAAGGGAACUACUACUCAGCCAUAAAAAGGAAUGAAUUAAUGGCAUUCGCAGUGACUUGGAUGAGUUUGGAGAAAAUUAUUCUAAGUGAAGUCACUCAGGAAUGGAAAACCAAACAUCGUAUAUUCUCACUGAUAUGUGGCAGCUAAGCUAUGAGGACACAAAGGCAUAAGAAUGAUACAAUGGACUUUGGGGACCUGGGGGGAUGGGUGGGGGGGGGGGCGUGGGAUAAAAGACUGCAAAUAGGGUGCAGUGUAUACUGCUUGGGUGAUGGGUACACCAAAAUCUCACAAAUCACCACUAAAGAACCUACUCAUGUAACCAAACACCACCUGUUCCCCAAUAACCUAUGGAAAAAUAUAAAAUAAAUUAAAAAAUUAAACAACCCAAAA
Molecule: long non-coding RNA, 2043 nt
Organism: Homo sapiens (human)
Lineage: Eukaryota; Metazoa; Chordata; Mammalia; Primates; Hominidae
Exons: 2
Source: RefSeq, a predicted model, not a curated record